UGCAGUCGAGCGGAUCUUCAUUAGCUUGCUUUUGAAGAUCAGCGGCGGACGGGUGAGUAACACGUGGGCAACCUGCCUGUAAGACUGGGAUAACUUCGGGAAACCGGAGCUAAUACCGGAUAAUCCUUUCCCUCUCAUGAGGGAAAGCUGAAAGACGGUUUCGGCUGUCACUUACAGAUGGGCCCGCGGCGCAUUAGCUAGUUGGUGAGGUAACGGCUCACCAAGGCAACGAUGCGUAGCCGACCUGAGAGGGUGAUCGGCCACACUGGGACUGAGACACGGCCCAGACUCCUACGGGAGGCAGCAGUAGGGAAUCUUCCGCAAUGGACGAAAGUCUGACGGAGCAACGCCGCGUGAACGAUGAAGGCCUUCGGGUCGUAAAGUUCUGUUGUCAGGGAAGAACAAGUAUCGGAGUAACUGCCGGUACCUUGACGGUACCUGACCAGAAAGCCACGGCUAACUACGUGCCAGCAGCCGCGGUAAUACGUAGGUGGCAAGCGUUGUCCGGAAUUAUUGGGCGUAAAGCGCGCGCAGGCGGUUCCUUAAGUCUGAUGUGAAAGCCCCCGGCUCAACCGGGGAGGGUCAUUGGAAACUGGGGAACUUGAGUGCAGAAGAGGAGAGCGGAAUUCCACGUGUAGCGGUGAAAUGCGUAGAGAUGUGGAGGAACACCAGUGGCGAAGGCGGCUCUCUGGUCUGUAACUGACGCUGAGGCGCGAAAGCGUGGGGAGCGAACAGGAUUAGAUACCCUGGUAGUCCACGCCGUAAACGAUGAGUGCUAAGUGUUAGAGGGUUUCCGCCCUUUAGUGCUGCAGCAAACGCAUUAAGCACUCCGCCUGGGGAGUACGGCCGCAAGGCUGAAACUCAAAGGAAUUGACGGGGGCCCGCACAAGCGGUGGAGCAUGUGGUUUAAUUCGAAGCAACGCGAAGAACCUUACCAGGUCUUGACAUCCUCUGACAACCCUAGAGAUAGGGCGUUCCCCUUCGGGGGACAGAGUGACAGGUGGUGCAUGGUUGUCGUCAGCUCGUGUCGUGAGAUGUUGGGUUAAGUCCCGCAACGAGCGCAACCCUUGAUCUUAGUUGCCAG
This 1084-nucleotide ribosomal RNA is filed under the name Bacillus sp. (in: firmicutes). RNAcentral's name for it is "bacterial SSU rRNA". It matches the Rfam family "Bacterial small subunit ribosomal RNA", at positions 56 to 1121 of the family's 1533-position model. The record is from RNAcentral. Lineage: Bacteria; Bacillati; Bacillota; Bacilli; Caryophanales; Bacillaceae.